This 109-nucleotide non-coding RNA is filed under the name Lachnoanaerobaculum saburreum. RNAcentral describes it as "FMN riboswitch (RFN element)". It matches the Rfam family "FMN riboswitch aptamer (RFN element)". Rfam says of the family: The RFN element is a highly conserved domain that is found frequently in the 5'-untranslated regions of prokaryotic mRNAs that encode for flavin mononucleotide (FMN) biosynthesis and transport proteins. Lineage: Bacteria; Bacillati; Bacillota; Clostridia; Lachnospirales; Lachnospiraceae. The record is from RNAcentral.
AUCUUCGGGGCGGGGUGAAAAUCCCCACCGGCAGUAUAGUCUGCGACCUGCAUGGCAGUUGAUUUGGUGAAAUUCCAAAACCGACAGUAUAGUCUGGAUGAGAGAAGAG